This 466-nucleotide ribosomal RNA is filed under the name uncultured bacterium. RNAcentral describes it as "partial 16S ribosomal RNA". It matches the Rfam family "Bacterial small subunit ribosomal RNA", at positions 28 to 507 of the family's 1533-position model. The record is from RNAcentral.
GAUGAACGCUGGCGGCGUGCUUAACACAUGCAAGUCGAACGAUGAAGCCCAGCUUGCUGGGUGGAUUAGUGGCGAACGGGUGAGUAACACGUGAGUAACCUGCCCUUAACUCUGGGAUAAGCCUGGGAAACUGGGUCUAAUACCGGAUAGGAGCGUCCACCGCAUGGUGGGUGUUGGAAAGAUUUAUCGGUUUUGGAUGGACUCGCGGCCUAUCAGCUUGUUGGUGAGGUAAUGGCUCACCGAGGCGACGACGGGUAGCCGGCCUGAGAGGGUGACCGGCCACACUGGGACUGAGACACGGCCCAGACUCCCACGGGAGGCAGCAGUGGGGAAUAUUGCACAAUGGGCGAAAGCCUGAUGCAGCGACGCCGCGUGAGGGAUGACGGCCUUCGGGUUGUAAACCUCUUUCAGUAGGGAAGAAGCGAAAGUGACGGUACCUGCAGAAGAAGCACCGGCUAACUACGUG